ACCUCGCGCCUUGCCCCCACCUUCCUCCCUCCCAGCUCUCGAGCAUACCUCCCCAUGGCACUUCACCGGCUGCAGGUGGCCUCCGCGCCCCAUACCGCGCGGAUCUAGCAUGCCCUGCAACCGGCGGCCUUCCACCAAAAGCACCGGAUCCACCGACACGGGCUCUUGCACUACCGUGAAAGAAGCGGAUCCUCCCCUCGUCCUCGACCCGAGCAGCAACACGGAGGUGUUCUUGCGCCGCCCCGUGCGUACCUCCCUUCCCCAGCCCAGAUCCGCCUCCAAGGCGGCCGGAUCCGCCCGAAUGGCGCGCGGCACGGCCACUACCUACCCCCAGUGCGACCUUCUCCCUCCUCACGAGCUCAACCCCUCCCCAAAUUAUUCUCUGCGGCAGCCUACCUUGCAUGGCUUUCCUCGGCAGCCGUCGCACCAGUUCGCUAGCGCAAGGGCGCGUGCAGUUCUGCCCGCGGGGGCGAGCAGUGCACUUGGCUCGUCCCUAUGAAACAGUAGUGACCUUCUCCCUACGACGGGGCGAGGAGAUCCGGCGGUCUCCGACUGUGGUCGAGGUCGUGGCCACCACACGCGUCAACAAUAGCGAGAUUCCACCCCUUGGAUGCACUGCAGUUCAGUUUUGGUGGGCGCCACUGUCCUCUGACAGGCGUGUGUGCAGUGCGGUCCGGUGGCGGGGUAGCCACCACUGGACUCCGGCGGUCCUCUUCCCGUCACGUACAAAAAGCCAUGCCCAGGUCCAAUUUUUUCGUUGUUGUUAUCCACUGACGGCAAGCAGUGCAACUUGCUAUCAUUGCAGGUGAGUUGGGGCGUCCGUGCAGUGCGCAAGAACUUGAGGACGAUUGACACGCACUUCGGCAGGAGUUUACUUGGUGUGGACAGGAGGUUCUCCAGCUGGCUCAUGCAGCGAGCAGUGCAGGUUGCUCUUCACUGCAGGUCGGUUGGACCAUUGGUGCAGUACCCAAAUCGCUACUGUUUUUGCUGUUGCUCACACACAUCACCGGUGGUUCACCGGAGCACCCCCUCGCAGCUCUCUCCUUCCCCAACAUGCAGUUCACCGGCGACGGCCUUCCGUUCGUUUUGGUUGCUGUCGAUGCCAUCCCCACUGUAGUACAGUGUAUGUGCGUGUUUUGCGUGUUUUGCGUGGUAUCCGGCUGGGGGCCUAUGUUCCUUAACAAUGUAAAAAAUAGCAUGAAAAUGAAGUGCACUUCUGUUGUAUCCAAGUUUCAGUUCCCCCUCAAUAUGAAGGAAAUAUGUCCUAGAGGCAAUAAUAAAGUUAUUAUUUAUUUUC
Long non-coding RNA from Triticum dicoccoides, 1297 nucleotides. RefSeq lists it as uncharacterized. NCBI's taxonomy places the organism in Eukaryota, Viridiplantae, Streptophyta, Magnoliopsida, Poales, Poaceae. The transcript is spliced from 2 exons. The record is from RefSeq and is a predicted model, not a curated record.